AGAAGAGGAUUUCCAUAUCCAUCUUUCAUGCAGAGGACGCCUCGUCUUCAUUCAAACAAAAGCCACUGGAGUUCCUCUUUCGGCAUUCAUUUACACUGCUAGGAAUUUGCGAUCGGGAGAUUUUUUAGGUCUCAAGGCCUCAAGGCUGUCAAUGUCGACCAGCUCCUCACCGAUCAGCCCCACGUUUCCGCCCUCGUCCGUGAAUCCCUCAACCGCGGUGUGUUUGAGGGGACAAAAUGAGGGGACAAAGUGGAUUUAUCACAAACAUCAUAGUGUGCCCCACCUAUCUUCUGUGGUGUGUUUUCUGAUGUAGGACUUUGUCACAGGCCUGCCUUCAGAAGCGGGUGGGCGCACUGUAAUGUUUGUGAAAUAAGUACAGGAUAUGGAGGCAUGAAAAAUGUGGUGUGGUCAGUUGUAAAGGAACAACAUGUUUGGGCAUGGAAGUAUCAUGGGUAGUUCCCAUAUGGUGAAAUCUUUCUUGGUAGAAUAAGGCGUGAGUUUGGAUACGGUUCCUAGUCAAUGGCCGAGGUUCCGUGAAUGUGGGGCCAAUGUUUUCUAACAUAAAAGGUCCCGUCGGUGGGCCCCACCAUAGCUGGCGGAUGAAAAAAAACCAUUGAUCUGAUAGUUCCACUAUCAUUUCUGAAAAGAUCAUUCGUAAGAUUCUCAAAAGAAUCUGUCAAGCUUUUAGUUAGACGUUGUACCAGAUUAGUUUCGACCAACGGUUUAGAAUUUAGAAUGCUUUGUUAUCUAUCUUUGUACAUGGACUUGUCAAAGAACAGCUCUUUAGAUGUUUGGUAUUUGGUUAUUUUGUAAUUUCUAUUGCUAAAUUAUUUUAAUUGCGCGUUUGUUGAGUUGGUUGCUUUUUUUAA
Molecule: long non-coding RNA, 869 nt
Organism: Magnolia sinica
Lineage: Eukaryota; Viridiplantae; Streptophyta; Magnoliopsida; Magnoliales; Magnoliaceae
Exons: 2
Source: RefSeq, a predicted model, not a curated record